UAAUGGGCAACCUGAUAGAAACCUCCAUU
This 29-nucleotide non-coding RNA is filed under the name Rattus norvegicus (Norway rat). The record is from RNAcentral. Lineage: Eukaryota; Metazoa; Chordata; Mammalia; Rodentia; Muridae.